CCCUUAGAUGUUCUGGGCAGCACGCGCGCUACAAUGGUCUUCGCAAACGGAUGCAUUCUCGAAGGAGAAUGCCAAUCUUGGAAUCUAUGCCUUGGUCGGGACAGUUGCUUGCAAUUUUUCGACUCGAACCAGGAAUUCCUUGUAAUCGUGAUUCAUCACAUCACGAUGAAUACGUCCCUGCCCUUUGUACACAACGCCCGUCGCUCCUACCGAUCGAAGAGUUAGGUGAAUUGUUUUGAUCGAUAAGAUUUGACUAUGGUCAACUCUCGUUGUGAAAUUCUGUGAAUCUGACUGUUUAGAGGAAGGAAAAGUCGUAACA
RNAcentral lists this ribosomal RNA (319 nucleotides) under uncultured eukaryote. RNAcentral describes it as "partial 18S ribosomal RNA". It matches the Rfam family "Eukaryotic small subunit ribosomal RNA", at positions 1470 to 1796 of the family's 1831-position model. The record is from RNAcentral.